AUAUGUGUUAUUUCGUAGUUUUGUUGUCUUCACUGUUAUUCUACAAUGUAGAAAAUAGUAAAAAAUAAAGAAAACCCUUGAAUGAGUAGGUGUAAAACCUUUGACCGGUAGUGUACUAAACCUUGCAUAGAGCCAAUACAUUCUAUACACUUUAUACUGGAUUACGUUUAUAUUUUGUUUAACUUUCAUUUAGUUAUGUUCCAACUUUCCCUCCAUCUUGUGCCAACAUCAGUUCUUUUUAAGUCUUGGUUCCAAUAGUUUAUAGUUGUUUUUCUAAGAGAUGCAAGAGACAAAAUUCACAACUUCUACAGCACAAACGGCAGAGUCAUGUCUUCAGUGUAAAACUAACAAUGACUCAAUAACCCAUGCAUUCUGGGAAUGUUAUGAUGUCAUAAAGAUACGGGCGGAGUUGGAACGUUGGCUGUCAGAAGUAUUACAAUGUAAACUUCAUUUUAAAUCCGUCUGUCUGCAUAUUUCAGGACAUGACAUAUGAAGGGUGUAAUGAGAGACCCAUGGGGGGGGGGGAUACUUUACUCGUCAAUGAUUUAGAAGAAAACGUUGACCUAAAAAAAACUGGAAAUCACAUGAUCAUACAUCAUUACAACAGUGGAUGAAUCCAAAUGUUUAUUUAAAUAUUGAAAAUGUGUGGGCUACGGAGAAACAUUCUACAGUGCCAUUUGAGGCCAUAUUUCAUAGAGUUCUACAAGCACCGGAACCUUCCAGGGGAGGACGGAUGAGGGGGGGGGACAUAUGUGAUGUGUACAGUAACAGUGGGAACAUGUGGGUCUGAGCAGGUGUGAUGUCAUUGAUGUUUUGGUAACAUUAGUGGUCUGUUUAUGGUCUUUGUUUAUGCAUGUUGUUAUUGUAAAAUUAUAUUUCAACAUGAAAACACUCACAGUUUACAGUUAUACACUUUACAGUUAUACACUUUACAGUUAACAUUCACACUUUACAGUUAACACUCAUACUUUACAGUUAUACACUUUACAGUUAACACUCAUACUUUACAGUUAUACACUUUACAGUUAACACUCAUACUUUACAGUUAUACACUUUACAGUUAACAUUCACACUUUACAGUUAACACUCAUACUUUACAGUUAUACACUUUACAGUUAACACUCAUACUUUACAGUUAUACACUUUACAGUUAACACUCAUACUUUACAGUUAUAUACUUUACAGUGAACACUCACACUAUACAGGUAACACUCACACUUUACAAUUAUACACUUUACAGUGAACACUCACACUAUACAGGUAACACUCACACUUUACAAUUAUACACUUUACAGUUAACACUCAAACUUUACAAUUAUACACUUUACAGUUAACACUCACACUUUACAGUUCAAACUUUACAGUUAUACACUUUACAGUUAACAUUCACACUUUACAGUAACACUCAUACUUUACAGUUAUACACUUUACAGUGAACACUCACACUAUACAGUUAACACUCACACUUUACAAUUAUACACUUUACAGUUAACACUCAAACUUUACAAUUAUACACUUUACAGUUAACACUCACACUUUACAGUUCAAACUUUACAGUUAUACACUAUACAGUUACCCUCACACUUUACAGUUAACAUUCACACUGUACAGUUAUACACUUUACAGUUCACACUCACACUUUACAGUUCACACUCAUAGUUAACACUCAAACAUCAAAACAUCAAUAUACACACUUAGUGCCACAUUAUAUUUGGCUCUGUUGUAUCAAAGGCCCUAUAGUUUCCUAAUGUCCCUGGGCCUAUACGGCUGUAUAUGGGGCUACAUAUAGGGGCUAUACCCCAAACUGGAAAUGAUCACAUCUGGAAUGCUAUAGGUUCACUCUCUGCCUUAAAUGAGUCAGCUGGGAUCUGAAAACAGAGACAGAACGUUCCUCAUCUGUCUGAACUCUUAACCAUCUCAGAGACAAGACGUUUCUCAUCUGUCUGAACUCUUAACCAUCUCAGAGACAAGACGUUUCUCAUGUGUCUGAACUCUUAAACCAUCUCAGAGACAAGACGUUCCUCAUCUGUCUGAACUCUUAAACCAUCUCAGAGACAAGACGUUUCUCAUCUGUCUGAACUCUUAACCAUCUCAGAGACAAGACGUUUCUCAUCUGUCUGAACUCUUAACCAUCUCAGAGACAAGACGUUCCUCAUCUGUCUGAACUCUUAACCAUCUCAGAGACAAGACGUUUCUCAUCUGUCUGAACUCUUAACCAUCUCAGAGACGAGACGUUCCUCAUCUGUCUGAACUCUUAACCAUCUCAGAGACAAGACGUUUCUCAUCUGUCUGAACCCUUAACCAUCUCAGAGACAAGACAUUUCUCAUCUGUCUGAACCCUUAACCAUCUCAGAGACAAGAUGUUUCUCAUCUGUCUGAACUCUUAACCAUCUCAGAGACAAGACGUUUCUCAUCUGUCUGAACUCUUAACCAUCUCAGAGACAAGACGUUUCUCAUCUGUCUGAACUUUUAACCAUCUCAGAGACAAGACGUUUCUCAUCUGUCUGAACUCUUAACCAUCUCAGAGACAAGACGUUUCUCAUCUGUCUGAACUCUUAACCAUCUCAGAGACAAGGCGUUUCUCAUCUGUCUGAACUCUU
Oncorhynchus tshawytscha (Chinook salmon) is the source of this 2600-nucleotide long non-coding RNA. RefSeq lists it as uncharacterized. The transcript is spliced from 2 exons. The record is from RefSeq and is a predicted model, not a curated record. NCBI's taxonomy places the organism in Eukaryota, Metazoa, Chordata, Actinopteri, Salmoniformes, Salmonidae.